This 449-nucleotide long non-coding RNA is filed under the name Homo sapiens (human). RNAcentral's name for it is "non-protein coding lnc-HP1BP3-1:1". Lineage: Eukaryota; Metazoa; Chordata; Mammalia; Primates; Hominidae. The record is from RNAcentral.
CAUUCUGCCAUUAAUCUCGUGCUUGCUGAACAUGAAGAAGAGGCAGUGUUUGAGUUAUUUUUUAAUUGGCUACUUUCCUUGACUUCCAGAAACAUCGAAUGAAUGCUGAAAUUCCUAGUCUGGUUUCUUCAGUGGUGUGUUUGUGUUUUAGUACAACCUGCAAAAGAGUUACUCCAUUGUCUAAAAAUGCAAAUGAGAAUUUCCAAAUAUACAAAAUGCCUCCAAGCUUGUAUUAAGAGCCCAAAUGUUCCCUUUGAACUCUGCUAAUACACAGAAGAGUUGGAUAUCAUGAUCUUUGCCCUGAGGAAUUUAUCUUCCAAAGAAAGGAAGCUCAAGGAGUUGAUACCUUCUGAAAUGUUUUUAAUAAAAUCUGGGACAUGAGAUGGUGGAAAAUCCCUUAGGAUAGGCCGUUUGCAUGUAUAAUGUUGAUUAAAAGUUUUUGUACCCAU